ACUCGAGUGGCGAACGGGUGAGUAACACGUGGGUGAUCUGCCCUGCACUUUGGGAUAAGCCUGGGAAACUGGGUCUAAUACCGGAUAGGACCACGCGCUUCAUGGUGUGUGGUGGAAAGCUUUUGCGGUGUGGGAUGGGCCCGCGGCCUAUCAGCUUGUUGGUGGGGUAAUGGCCUACCAAGGCGACGACGGGUAGCCGGCCUGAGAGGGUGACCGGCCACACUGGGACUGAGAUACGGCCCAGACUCCUACGGGAGGCAGCAGUGGGGAAUAUUGCACAAUGGGCGCAAGCCUGAUGCAGCGACGCCGCGUGAGGGAUGACGGCCUUCGGGUUGUAAACCUCUUUCAAUAGGGACGAAGCGCAAGUGACGGUACCUAUAGAAGAAGGACCGGCCAACUACGUGCCAGCAGCCGCGGUAAUACGUAGGGUCCGAGCGUUGUCCGGAAUUACUG
This 453-nucleotide ribosomal RNA is filed under the name Mycobacterium sp. Its description in RNAcentral is "bacterial SSU rRNA". It matches the Rfam family "Bacterial small subunit ribosomal RNA", at positions 89 to 556 of the family's 1533-position model. The record is from RNAcentral. Lineage: Bacteria; Bacillati; Actinomycetota; Actinomycetes; Mycobacteriales; Mycobacteriaceae.